RNAcentral lists this ribosomal RNA (511 nucleotides) under Clostridioides difficile. RNAcentral's name for it is "bacterial SSU rRNA". It matches the Rfam family "Bacterial small subunit ribosomal RNA", at positions 711 to 1222 of the family's 1533-position model. The record is from RNAcentral. Lineage: Bacteria; Bacillati; Bacillota; Clostridia; Peptostreptococcales; Peptostreptococcaceae.
AGUUGCGAAGGCGGCUCUCUGGACUGUAACUGACGCUGAGGCACGAAAGCGUGGGGAGCAAACAGGAUUAGAUACCCUGGUAGUCCACGCUGUAAACGAUGAGUACUAGGUGUCGGGGUUUACCCCCUUCGGUGCCGCAGCUAACGCAUUAAGUACUCCGCCUGGGAAGUACGCUCGCAAGAGUGAAACUCAAAGGAAUGGACGGGGACCCGCACAAGUAGCGGAGCAUGUGGUUUAAUUCGAAGCAACGCGAAGAACCUUACCUAAGCUUGACAUCCCAAUGACAUCUCCUUAAGCGGAGAGUUCCCUUCGGGGACAUUGGUGACAGGUGGUGCAUGGUUGUCGUCAGCUCGUGUCGUGAGAUGUUGGGUUAAGUCCCGCAACGAGCGCAACCCUUGUCUUUAGUUGCCAUCAUUAAGUUGGGCACUCUAGAGAGACUGCCAGGGAUAACCUGGAGGAAGGUGGGGAUGACGUCAAAUCAUCAUGCCCCUUAUGCUUAGGGCUACACACG